Molecule: ribosomal RNA, 3054 nt
Filed under: Cohnella rhizosphaerae
Lineage: Bacteria; Bacillati; Bacillota; Bacilli; Caryophanales; Paenibacillaceae
Description: Bacterial large subunit ribosomal RNA
Rfam family: Bacterial large subunit ribosomal RNA
Source: Rfam by way of RNAcentral
GGUUAAGCUAUUAAGGGCGCACGGAGGAUGCCUAGGCGCCAGGAGCCUAAGAAGGACGCGGCGAACAGCGAAAUUGCCUCGGGGAGCCGUAAGCAGGCUUUGAUCCGGGGAUGUCCGAAUGGGGAAACCCGGCUGGGGUCAUGCCCAGUCAUCCAUGAGUGAAUACAUAGCUCAUGAGAAGGCACACCCAGGGAACUGAAACAUCUAAGUACCUGGAGGAGAAGAAAACAAGAGUGAUUCCGUCAGUAGCGGCGAGCGAAAGCGGAUUAGCCCAAACCUGAGAGCUUGCUCUCAGGGGUUGUGGGACGUCUCACAUGGAGUUACAAAGGAGCAGGUUAGGCGAAGAGAUCUGGAAAGGUCCGGCAUAGAGGGUAAAAGCCCCGUAGCCGAAAGUCUGCUCCCUCCGAGACGGAUCCCGAGUACCGCGGGACACGAGAAACCCCGUGGGAAUCCGGCAGGACCAUCUGCCAAGGCUAAAUACUCCCUGGCGACCGAUAGUGAAGCAGUACCGUGAGGGAAAGGUGAAAAGCACCGCGGGAGCGGAGUGAAAAAAGAACCUGAAACCGUGCGCUUACAAGAAGUCAGAGCCCGAUCUAGGGGUGAUGGCGUGCCUUUUGUAGAAUGAACCGGCGAGUUACGUUUACGUGCGAGGUUAAGUCGGAGAGACGGAGCCGCAGCGAAAGCGAGUCUGAAUAGGGCGCUUGAGUACGUAGUCGUAGACCCGAAACCGGGUGAUCUACCCCUGUGCAGGGUGAAGGUGAGGUAACACUUACUGGAGGCCCGAACUCGUGAGCGUUGAAAAGCUCUGGGAUGACGUGGGGGUAGGGGAGAAAUUCCAAUCGAACUCGGAGAUAGCUGGUUCUCCCCGAAAUAGCUUUAGGGCUAGCCUCGAGAUUUAGCAUCAUGGAGGUAGAGCACUGAUUGGGUGCGGGGCCCGCCAAGGGUUACCAAGUCCAGUCAAACUCCGAAUGCCAUGGAUGUAUGCUCGGGAGUCAGACGGCGAGUGCUAAGAUCCGUCGUCAAGAGGGAAAGAGCCCAGAUCAUCAGCUAAGGUCCCCAAGUGUGUGUUAAGUGGGAAAGGAUGUGGAGUUGCGAAGACAACCAGGAUGUUGGCUUAGAAGCAGCCACCAUUUAAAGAGUGCGUAAUAGCUCACUGGUCGAGUGACUCUGCGCCGAAAAUGUAACGGGGCUAAACACACCACCGAAGCUAUGGCAUGUCGUAGUCUUCACUUUGUUUUGUUGGAACGCCGGGGCAUUUUUUCAAAAACACCCGCCAAGGUUGUUUAAAAAGAUUAACCAAAACGGCGCCGGCAAACAACCCCCCCGCGGGGGGGGGGAGAGACUACGACUUGGGUAGGGGAGCGUUGAAUGCGGGUAGAAGUCGGACCGAGAGGACCGGUGGACUGCAUUCAAGUGAGAAUGCCGGUAUGAGUAACGAAAAGACAGGUGAGAAUCCUGUCCGCCGAAAGCCUAAGGGUUCCUGAGGAAGGUUCGUCCGCUCAGGGUAAGUCGGGACCUAAGGCGAGGCCGAAAGGCGUAGUCGAAGGACAACAGGUUGAAAUUCCUGUACCACCGUAAUCCGUUACGAGCGAUGGGGGGACGCAGGAGGGCAAGAACGCGAGCUGAUGGAAUAGCUCGUCCAAGCAGUAAGGGGUGUGUGUAGGCAAAUCCGCACACUAAUACCUUGAGCUGUGAUGGGGGAGGGGAAAAUUACAGUACCGAAGGUUCCGUGCUCACGCUGCCGAGAAAAGCCUCUAGCCAGGAAAAGGUGCCCGUACCGCAAACCGACACAGGUAGGCGAGAAGAGAAUUCUAAGGCGCGCGGAAGAACUCUCGUUAAGGAACUCGGCAAAAUGACCCCGUAACUUCGGGAGAAGGGGUGCCUCGGUAGGGUGAAUAGCCCGAGGGGGCCGCAGUGAAUAGGCCCAAGCGACUGUUUAGCAAAAACACAGGUCUGUGCGAAGCCGUAAGGCGAAGUAUACGGGCUGACGCCUGCCCGGUGCUGGAAGGUUAAGGGGAGCGGUUAGGGGCAACCCGAAGCUGUGAACCGAAGCCCCAGUAAACGGCGGCCGUAACUAUAACGGUCCUAAGGUAGCGAAAUUCCUUGUCAGGUAAAUUCUGACCCGCACGAAUGGCGUAACGACUUGGGCGCUGUCUCAACGAGAGAUCCGGUGAAAUUUUAGUACCUGUGAAGAUGCAGGUUACCCGCGACGUGACGGAAAGACCCCAUGGAGCUUUACUGUAGCUUGAUAUUGAACUUGGGUACGGUCUGUACAGGAUAGGUGGGAGCCAUUGAAGUAGGAGCGCAAGCUUCUAUGGAGGCGCCGUUGGGAUACCACCCUGAUCGUAUCUAGGUUCUAACCUGUCACCGUGAAUCCGGUGAAGGGACCGUGUCAGGCGGACAGUUUGACUGGGGCGGUCGCCUCCUAAAGCGUAACGGAGGCGCCCCAAGGUUCCCUCAGAAUGGUUGGAAAUCAUUCGAAGAGUGCAAAGGCAUAAGGGAGCUUGACUGCGAGACCUACAAGUCGAGCAGGGACGAAAGUCGGGCUUAGUGAUCCGGUGGUACCGAAUGGAAGGGCCAUCGCUCAACGGAUAAAAGCUACCCUGGGGAUAACAGGCUUAUCUCCCCCAAGAGUCCACAUCGACGGGGGAGGUUUGGCACCUCGAUGUCGGCUCAUCGCAUCCUGGGGCUGAAGUAGGUCCCAAGGGUUGGGCUGUUCGCCCAUUAAAGCGGUACGCGAGCUGGGUUCAGAACGUCGUGAGACAGUUCGGUCCCUAUCUGUCGCGGGCGUAGGAAAUUUGAGAGGGGCUGUCCUUAGUACGAGAGGACCGGGAUGGACGCACCGCUGGUGUACCAGUUGUUCCGCCAGGAGCAUCGCUGGGUAGCCAAGUGCGGGAGGGAUAAGCGCUGAAAGCAUCUAAGCGCGAAGCCCGCCUCAAGAUGAGAUUUCCCAGUAUGUAAGACCCCUGGAAGAACACCAGGUUGAUAGGCUCGGGGUGUAAGCAUGGCAACAUGUGUAGCUGACGAGUACUAAUCGGUCGAGGGCUUAUCCUA